GUCUUGUUCAUUUGAUCACAUUAACAGUGACUCCCUCCUCAAGCAGCUGAGGAGGGAGUCACUGUUAAUGUGAUCAAUGAACAAGAGCCU
Non-coding RNA from Paramuricea clavata, 90 nucleotides. Lineage: Eukaryota; Metazoa; Cnidaria; Anthozoa; Malacalcyonacea; Plexauridae. The record is from the annotation of a GenBank genome assembly.